RNAcentral lists this ribosomal RNA (433 nucleotides) under uncultured bacterium. RNAcentral's name for it is "partial 16S ribosomal RNA". It matches the Rfam family "Bacterial small subunit ribosomal RNA", at positions 29 to 507 of the family's 1533-position model. The record is from RNAcentral.
AACGAGCGCUGGCGGCAUGCCUAACACAUGCAAGUCGAACGAGACCUUCGGGUCUAGUGGCGCACGGGUGCGUAACGCGUGGGAACCUGCCCUUAGGUUCGGAAUAACUCCCCGAAAGGGGUGCUAAUACCGGAUAAUGUCUUCGGACCAAAGAUUUAUCGCCUUUGGAUGGGCCCGCGUUGGAUUAGCUAGUUGGUAGGGUAAAAGCCUACCAAGGCGACGAUCCAUAGCUGGUCUGAGAGGAUGAUCAGCCACACUGGGACUGAGACACGGCCCAGACUCCUACGGGAGGCAGCAGUGGGGAAUAUUGGACAAUGGGCGAAAGCCUGAUCCAGCAAUGCCGCGUGAGUGAUGAAGGCCUUAGGGUUGUAAAGCUCCUUUACCCGGGAUGAUAAUGACAGUACCGGGAGAAUAAGCUCCGGCUAACUCCGUG